This 1281-nucleotide ribosomal RNA is filed under the name uncultured fungus. RNAcentral's name for it is "eukaryotic LSU rRNA". The stretch from base 566 to 1281 matches the Rfam family "Eukaryotic large subunit ribosomal RNA", at positions 1 to 649 of the family's 3401-position model. Lineage: Eukaryota; Fungi. The record is from RNAcentral.
AAGUCGUAACAAGGUAACCGUAGGUGAACCUGCGGUUGGAUCAUUUAUAAAAUUAGAAGGUCUUUCAGACCUAUCUACCACACUUUGUGAACUGUUUAUUGUCUCUGGCGAGGCUUCAAACCCUCGCCGAUUACUAAACUAUGUAUCAAACUUUUGUCUAGAAAUUAAGUUAUUAAAUUUAAAACAACUUUUAACAACGGAUCUCUAGGCUCUCGCAACGAUGAAGAACGCAGCGAAAUGCGAUAAGUAAUGUGAAUUGCAGAAUUCCGUGAAUCAUUAAAUCUUUGAACGCACAUUGCGCCCUCUGGUACUCCUAAGGGCAUGCCUGUUCGAGAAUCAGUUUAACCAUCAAACCUAUUGUGUAAAAGCAAUAUGGUUUGGACUUGAGAAGUCUGGGUGUAUACCGUCAGAAACUCUAAUAAAAUCUGUUGCCUGUCUAUACAAUGGCUAGAUAAAGGGCAUGACCAUUGAACAUUUUGUUCUUGUAUUGCUUGUAUGGUUUAAUCAUUUGUAUCUACGUGCGCACAUUAAAAUUUCACGAGAGAGUAAAAUCUCUCUCAAGACUUGAUCUCGAAUCAGACAAGACUACCCGCUGAACUUAAGCAUAUCAAUAAGCGGAGGAAAAGAAACUAACAAGGAUUCCCCUAGUAACGGCGAGUGAAGCGGGAAUAGCUCAAAUUUGAAAUCUCACAGGUUCCCUGUGCGAAUUGUAGUUUAAAGAAGUAUUUUCAGAGACAACCCAGGCAUAAGUCCUUUGGAACAGGGCAUCAUAGAAGGUGAGAUCCUGUAUAUGGUCUGGUGGUGUUUCUAUGUGAUAUACUUUCAAAGAGUCGGGUUGUUUGGGAAUGCAGCCCAAAAUGGGUGGUAAAUACCAUCUAAAGCUAAAUAUUGGCGAGAGACCGAUAGCGAACAAGUACCGUGAGGGAAAGAUGAAAAGGACUUUGAAAAGAGAGUUAAGUAGUACGUGAAAUUGUUAAAAGGGAAACACUUGAAACCAGUCUUGUUGGUAGAAUCCCAACUAGCUUAGCAGCUAGUAUAUGUUUCUACUGACAGGUCAACAUCGGUUUUGACUGGAGUACAAAGCUGGAAGAAGGUGACCUUUGGGUGUUAUAGCUUCCAGUAAUGCUUUGGUUGAGACCGAGGACUGCAGCUCAGUCUUGGGGACCCGUUCGCCAAUUGAAUAAUUCUUUGGACAACUCGUUGAUCAAAGAAGUGCUAAGAUUGUUCGGGCGGUACACCACACCUGUGCUUAGGAUGUUGACAUAAUGGUUUUAAAUGACC